UUAGAGUUUGAUCAUGGCUCAGAUUGAACGCUGGCGGAAUGCUUUAUAUAUGCAAGUCGAGCGGCAGCGCGGGGGCAACCCUGGCGGCGAGCGGCGAACGGGUGAGUAAUACAUCGGAACAUGUCCAGUCGUGGGGGAUAGCCCGGCGAAAGCCGGAUUAAUACCGCAUGAGCUCGAGAGAGGAAAGCGGGGGACCGUAAGGCCUCGCGCGACUGGGUUGGCCGAUGUCCGAUUAGCUUGUUGGUGGGGUAAAGGCCUACCAAGGCGAUGAUCGGUAGCUGGUCUGAGAGGAUGAUCAGCCACACUGGGACUGAGACACGAGCUAGACUCCUACGGGAGGCAGCAGUGGGGAAUUUUGGACAAUGGGGGCAACCCUGAUCCAGCCAUUCCGCGUGAGUGAAGAAGGCCUUCGGGUUGUAAAGCUCUUUUGUCCGGAGCGAAACGGUUGUGGUGAAUAUCCACGACUACUGACGGUACCGGAAGAAUAAGCACCGGCUAACUACGUGCCAGCAGCCGCGGUAAUACGUAGGGUGCGAGCGUUGAUCGGAAUUACUGGGCGUAAAGCGUGCGCAGGCGGGCUUUUAAGCCAGACGUGAAAUCCCCGGGCUUAACCUGGGAAUGGCGUUUGGGACUGGGAGUCUGGAGUGCGGCAGAGGAGACUGGAAUUCCUGGUGUAGCAGUGAAAUGCGUAGAUAUCAGGAGGAACACCGAUGGCGAAGGCAGGUCUCUGGGCUGACACUGACGCUCAUGCACGAAAGCGUGGGGAGCAAACAGGAUUAGAUACCCUGGUAGUCCACGCCCUAAACGAUGUCGACUGGUUGUUGGGGGUUUGACACUCUCAGUAACGAAGCUUAC
RNAcentral lists this ribosomal RNA (855 nucleotides) under uncultured bacterium. RNAcentral's name for it is "bacterial SSU rRNA". It matches the Rfam family "Bacterial small subunit ribosomal RNA", at positions 1 to 856 of the family's 1533-position model. The record is from RNAcentral.